UGACAGCUGAGGCAUCAGAGGCACUGGGAAGUGGCAGGAAUACUGAUUCCAGCGCAACUGCAUAUGGAAAGGGAAUAAGAAAUGCAGCCCAUAGAGAACUGUCAUGGAAGCUGUAUUCUGCCGGACCAACCUUUUAUUAAUGAUGCAGCCACAGGAGCUCAUUAAGCAUCUGCAGACUACUAGGAUUUUACAUAAAGCACAAACAACAGCCAUAUGGUAGCAAGCAGCCACUCGCAGCCCCACAGCAGCUAAGGAGUCCGCGCAGGCUGGCGGCCAGCAGCACGUGCCCCAGGAGCAGCAGCAGCACCCGCUGCAGAGACAAGGACAGGGGCUGCUCCCAGAUGGCGGGGAUGCAGAGCUCCAUCUCUCAGCCUGAGCUUCCUGCUUCUGCACCUGUCACAUCUGCCCCUGUGGCUCAGUACCCACCGCCACCACCCUCCACUCGGGCACACUACAUAAUCUGCACACACCUCUGGAAGGUCUCUUUGCACAUAGGAUCGACUUUCAGUAUCAGAAUGGCAGAAGAAAUCAUGGAAUCCACAGGGAAUUUGGGCAUAGCAUAUUAGAAGUUACAAGUCUGAUUUUUCUAGGAGCCCUUUUCCAUAGCUG
Gallus gallus (chicken) is the source of this 609-nucleotide long non-coding RNA. The record is from Ensembl. Lineage: Eukaryota; Metazoa; Chordata; Aves; Galliformes; Phasianidae.